Molecule: long non-coding RNA, 1551 nt
Organism: Pleuronectes platessa (European plaice)
Lineage: Eukaryota; Metazoa; Chordata; Actinopteri; Pleuronectiformes; Pleuronectidae
Exons: 3
Source: RefSeq, a predicted model, not a curated record
CCACCCCAAGCACCACAUCAAAGCGGUCAAAAGUUUUGACGGCUGUGGAAAAAUGCGGAACCUUUCUCGCACCGCUAGUACACUGUCGGACCCUUUAGCCACGCGCAGCGCGCACACAUCCUGUAUUUGAAUUAAACGGCUCAAGCAUGGCCUGAGAAUGCCUGUUACCACCUGACGCUUCGACCGGCACCUGCGGCUAAGUGAAGAAACCCAAAACAGAAAGGUAUGAUAUCAUAAUGGAUGUUGUUUUUGUCUUCUAAUAACUGUGACUAUCCCACCCAUGACUAUCUAUUUUGCGAAGUUUAGAAGCAAGCUAGAUCGGAGGAGAACAUAGUAAACUGUUAAAAUUGCUAUAUGCUAUGCUGUAUUUGAUAACUACGUUGCGAGAUUGUGUACAGUGUUUUAAUAUAAUCUCUCUCUUGUCUCUACACACAUUUGUUUUUGCAACUUCGGAUCGACUUUCGAUCUAGUUAUUUGCUGUUAACUGCUAUUGUUGCCAGAACGUGUUAUGAUUGUGUCAGGUAUAUACAGUAUGCAUUUUGGAUAGGUGUCAUUAAAGAGGGAAAAAUAAUGAAGAGGAAGAAGGCAGACAUAGCGUCCUUCUUCAGGGCAAGUGGAAAGAAGUCAGCUAAGGCAAAGAAUGAGGAUGAGAUGGAGAAAAAACAGGCAGAGAGCGAGGAUGAGGAGCCCCCAGAGAGCAGCAACUUAAAUGGACCUCCAGGUAUACAGUAUAGAGACUCACAUAUAGUACAGCUUGGUAUGAGAUUAUCUUAUUUACAAUUGGCUUAAAGUGUGUCUAUUCAUAUACAGGUCAGGUUGAAAGUGCAUUGUAAAACAUAUCAGUUAGUUUUUUCAUUACAUUAAAGUAUGGCAUAUUUGUAUUUGCUACCCAGAGACACUUUCACUAAUAUUAUACUUUAGCUUAUAGUGUGUUUGUUAAACACUAUAUAGCAUGCAUUAUAAAACCUUUAGGAAAAUUACCUGUACACCUUAUUGUAAUUAUUUUAGAUGUUUCUGAAAGAUUGAUUGAGAGCAGGACAGAAGAGUCCUCCCUGAGGAGUGGCCCCAGUGGAUCCCCAGAUUCCCACAGAGAAGAUUCAGACAGCGAGAGAGAGGAGCCUCCAACAACGAGUGGCGGCCCAAGUGGACCUCCAGACAUUUCCAAAUCAAGAACUGAUAGUCCAGUCCAGCCACGUCUGAAACUCUAUCCGAGGACACUCCAGGGCGACAGGCGCAGAAACUUUCAGGCAUCGUGGUACUCUAUCCACACAUGGCUUGAAUAUUCACUGUCACAAGACUCAGCAUACUGUUAUGCAUGCAGGCAUUUUGGCCUCCCACACACAGAGUCAGUGUUUACGUCAGCCUUGGGUUUUAAAAACUGGAAAAAGGCAACAUUCAGAAAUGGAGGGUUUUGUGGACAUGCAAAGGGAGAGGGUCACACAAAUGCAAUGAUUGCUUGGAAAGAAUAUGAGAGAGCAGAUAAAGCUGAUGCCUUGUUAAUGAGUACUUUAAGUAAAGAACAUCAUAAGCAGAUAGAGGAAAAUCGUGCCU